CUCGUAGGGUGCGAGCGUUGUCCGGAAUUAUUGGGCGUAAAGAGCUCGUAGGCGGUGUGUCGCGUCGGCCGUGAAAACCUGCAGCUUAACUGUGGGCUUGCGGUCGAUACGGGCAUCACUGGAGUUCGGCAGGGGAGACUGGAAUUCCUGGUGUAGCGGUGAAAUGCGCAGAUAUCAGGAGGAACACCGGUGGCGAAGGCGGGUCUCUGGGCCGAUACUGACGCUGAGGAGCGAAAGCGUGGGGAGCGAACAGG
This 254-nucleotide ribosomal RNA is filed under the name uncultured bacterium. Its description in RNAcentral is "partial 16S ribosomal RNA". It matches the Rfam family "Bacterial small subunit ribosomal RNA", at positions 524 to 776 of the family's 1533-position model. The record is from RNAcentral.